Molecule: ribosomal RNA, 253 nt
Filed under: uncultured bacterium
Lineage: Bacteria
Description: partial 16S ribosomal RNA
Rfam family: Bacterial small subunit ribosomal RNA
Source: RNAcentral
UACGUAGGGUGCAAGCGUUGUUCGGAAUCAUUGGGCGUAAAGGGCGCGUAGGUGGUUCUGUGUGUCUACCGUGAAAGCGUACGGCUCAACCGUAUUUUGUCGGUAGAAACUGCAGGACUUGAGGCUGGGAGGGGCUGGUGGAAUUCCCUGUGUAGCGGUGAAAUGCGUAGAGAUGGGGGAGAACACUCGUGGCGAAGGCGGCCAGCUAGACCAGUUCUGACACUGAGGCGCGACAGCGUGGGGAGCAAACGGG